GGAAGGGUCGCCUAGAGGCCUAGGGCGGUCGUCUCGAAAACGACUAGGGUGCAAGCUCUCGUGGGUUCGAAUCCCACCCCUUCCG
Molecule: transfer RNA, 85 nt
Filed under: Chloroflexota bacterium
Lineage: Bacteria; Bacillati; Chloroflexota
Description: Chloroflexi bacterium (groundwater metagenome) tRNA-Ser
Rfam family: tRNA
About the family: Transfer RNA (tRNA) molecules are approximately 80 nucleotides in length. Their secondary structure includes four short double-helical elements and three loops (D, anti-codon, and T loops).
Source: RNAcentral